CCUACGGGAGGCAGCAGUGGGGAAUCUUGCGCAAUGGGCGAAAGCCUGACGCAGCCAUGCCGCGUGAAUGAUGAAGGUCUUAGGAUUGUAAAAUUCUUUCAGUAGGGACGAUAAUGACGGUACCUACAGAAGAAGCCCCGGCUAACUUCGUGCCAGCAGCCGCGGUAAUACGAAGGGGGCUAGCGUUGCUCGGAAUUACUGGGCGUAAAGGGAGCGUAGGCGGACAUUUAAGUCAGGGGUGAAAUCCCAGAGCUCAACUCUGGAACUGCCUUUGAUACUGGGUGUCUUGAGUGUGAGAGAGGUAUGUGGAACUCCGAGUGUAGAGGUGAAAUUCGUAGAUAUUCGGAAGAACACCAGUGGCGAAGGCGACAUACUGGCUCAUUACUGACGCUGAGGCUCGAAAGCGUGGGGAGCAAACAGGAUUAGAUACCCUGGUAGUCCACGCCGUAAACGAUGAUUGCUAGUUGUCGGGAUGUUUACAUCUCGGUGACGCAGCUAACGCAUUAAGCAAUCCGCCUGGGGAGUACGGUCGCAAGAUUAAAACUCAAAGGAAUUGACGGCUGAGACGNGCGACGACGACGACGAGGGAGAGG
This 593-nucleotide ribosomal RNA is filed under the name uncultured bacterium. RNAcentral describes it as "bacterial SSU rRNA". It matches the Rfam family "Bacterial small subunit ribosomal RNA", at positions 338 to 956 of the family's 1533-position model. The record is from RNAcentral.